This is a long non-coding RNA of Drosophila sechellia, 606 nucleotides long. RefSeq lists it as uncharacterized. Lineage: Eukaryota; Metazoa; Arthropoda; Insecta; Diptera; Drosophilidae. The record is from RefSeq and is a predicted model, not a curated record. The transcript has 2 exons.
AAAUGUUGCUGAAUAGCAACGCAGAAACACCAACACACACACACAAUUGAAACUCUGGCGUUUCGAAGCCCAAAAAACGCAAAACUGGGGGGAAAAAACACCUCUGAAAACCCACCGCGUCUCCUUUCUUAUUCUUCACCCUCUGCACAUUUAGCAGCAAACAGGCUGCAAGCGAAGAUUGAGAAAAGCCAAGUCAAGUCAAGUCAAGUGCCAGCCAUUCUGAGUCAACAUCGGAUCCAGGGGUAAACCACCCAAAAUAGGAUUAGUUACUAGAAUUUCCUAGAAAGAAGCUACGUUUUUUCCCAGCUGGAUCGCAUUUGUUUUCCAUGCAAGUAACAUGUUGGUUCAUAUGUUCGCAUUGUUCAUCAUAUAGCAUAUAUAUCUAUAUCAGAAAUGGUGUAUUACUUAAAGAUCUUAUGAUCAAAGUUCUUGCCACCUUUGUACAUAAUAUUUAAAAACGAUGAAUUUCAUCUGACAGUUGAAACAUAGCAUUUUCCAUUUCCACGCUUCUUUUCCUUUACUUUUCCGCUUCGCUCGCCACAGAAAAUGUGUUUUGCCAUUAAAAGCAGCGAAAAAUGUAUUUAAAAAAAAAAAAAAAAAAAAAAA